This 711-nucleotide ribosomal RNA is filed under the name uncultured Acidobacteriota bacterium. Its description in RNAcentral is "bacterial SSU rRNA". It matches the Rfam family "Bacterial small subunit ribosomal RNA", at positions 66 to 756 of the family's 1533-position model. Lineage: Bacteria; Pseudomonadati; Acidobacteriota. The record is from RNAcentral.
ACGAGGCUGGGGGGGCAACUCUCCAGUCGAGUGGCGGACGGGUGAGUAACACGUGGGUAACCUGCCCGGAAGUGGGGAAUACCUCGGGGAAACUCGAGCUAAUACCGCAUGACAUCUUCGGGACGAAAGUCCUGACGAUCAAAGCGGGGUCGCAAGAUCUCGCGCUACCGGAUGGGCCCGCGCCCGAUUAGCUAGUUGGCGAGGUAACGGCUCACCAAGGCUUCGAUCGGUAACCGGCCUGAGAGGGCGAUCGGUCACACCGGAACUGAGACACGGUCCGGACUCCUACGGGAGGCAGCAGUGGGGAAUCUUGCGCAAUGGGCGAAAGCCUGACGCAGCAACGCCGCGUGGAGGAUGAAGGCCCUUGGGUUGUAAACUCCUGUCGGUUGGGAAGAAAUCUUGCGGGGCUCAUACCUCCGCAAGUUGACUGUACCAGCAAAGGAAGCCCCGGCUAACUCUGUGCCAGCAGCCGCGGUAAUACAGAGGGGGCCAGCGUUAUUCGGAAUUAUUGGGCGUAAAGGGCGCGUAGGCGGCCUUGCGUGUCUUUCGUGAAAUCCCUCGGCUUAACUGAGGACGUGCGGAAGAAACUGCAGGGCUCGAGUCCGGGAGAGGGGGGUGGAAUUCCCAGUGUAGCGGUGAAAUGCGUAGAUAUUGGGAGGAACACCGGUGGCGAAGGCGGCCCCCUGGACCGGUACUGACGCUGAGGCGCGA